This 1078-nucleotide ribosomal RNA is filed under the name bacterium. RNAcentral's name for it is "bacterial SSU rRNA". It matches the Rfam family "Bacterial small subunit ribosomal RNA", at positions 39 to 1128 of the family's 1533-position model. The record is from RNAcentral.
GUAGCGGGGGCUAUAAUGCAGUCGACGAGAUUAAGGGGCUUGCUCCUUAUGAAAGUGGCGCACGGGUGCGUAACGCGUAUGCAACCUACCUCAAUCAGGGGGAUAGCCCGAAGAAAUUCGGAUUAACACCGCAUAAAAACACAGGAUAGCAUUAUCUAAUGUUCAAAUAUUUAUAGGAUUGAGAUGGGCAUGCGUGUCAUUAGCUAGUUGGCGGGGUAACGGCCCACCAAGGCGACGAUGACUAGGGGAUCUGAGAGGAUGACCCCCCACACUGGUACUGAGACACGGACCAGACUCCUACGGGAGGCAGCAGUAAGGAAUAUUGGUCAAUGGAGGCAACUCUGAACCAGCCAUGCCGCGUGCAGGAAGACAGCCCUCUGGGUCGUAAACUGCUUUUAUUCGGGAAUAAACCUAUUUACGUGUAGAUAGCUGAAUGUACCGAAGGAAUAAGGAUCGGCUAACUCCGUGCCAGCAGCCGCGGUAAUACGGAGGAUCCAAGCGUUAUCCGGAUUUAUUGGGUUUAAAGGGUGCGUAGGCGGCUUAUUAAGUCAGGGGUGAAAGACGGUGGCUCAACCAUCGCAGUGCCUUUGAUACUGAUGAGCUUGAAUGAACUAGAGGUAGGCGGAAUGUGACAAGUAGCGGUGAAAUGCAUAGAUAUGUCACAGAACACCGAUUGCGAAGGCAGCUUACUAUGGUUUUAUUGACGCUGAUGCACGAAAGCGUGGGGAUCAAACAGGAUUAGAUACCCUGGUAGUCCACGCCCUAAACGAUGAAUACUCGCUGUUAGCGAUAUACAGUUAGCGGCUAAGCGAAAGCGUUAAGUAUUCCACCUGGGGAGUACGCCCGCAAGGUGAAACUCAAAGGAAUUGACGGGGCCCGCACAGCGGAGGAGCAUGUGGUUUAUUCGAUGAUACACGAGGAACCUUACCCGGGCUUGAAAGUUAGUGAUGAUCUAGAGAUAGAUCAGUGAGCAAUCACACGGAAACUACGUGCUGCAUGGCUGUCGUCAGCUCGUGCCGUGAGGUGUGGGUUAAGUCCCGCAACGAGCGCACCCCUAUGUUAAGUUGCCAGCACGUAA